This 385-nucleotide ribosomal RNA is filed under the name Tropiocolotes confusus. RNAcentral describes it as "partial 12S small subunit ribosomal RNA". It matches the Rfam family "Bacterial small subunit ribosomal RNA", at positions 796 to 1382 of the family's 1533-position model. Lineage: Eukaryota; Metazoa; Chordata; Lepidosauria; Squamata; Gekkonidae. The record is from RNAcentral.
CCAGCCAUAAACCUUGAUAGUAAACAACCGACUAUCCGCCAGAGAACUACCAGCAAAAACUCAAAACUCAAAGGACUUGACGGUGUCCCAAACCAACCUAGAGGAGCCUGUCCUAUAAUCGAUACCCCACGCUCCACCCAACCUGCCCUCGCACCAACAGCCUAUAUACCGCCGUCCCCAGCCUACCUAAUGAUAGACACCCAGUAGGCACAAUAGUCAACAACUAACACGUCAGGUCAAGGUGUAGCUAAUGAGCAGGCAGAGAUGGGCUACAUUUUCUCCCCCAGAAAAAACCACCCGCGCCAUGAAACAGCCGCAAUUAAGGCGGAUUUAGCAGUAAGACCGGCAAGACCUCAAGCCGACCUGAAGCCACGCUCUGGGACGC